UGGCGAGUCGUCUAGCCGGUAGGACGACGGAUUCUGGCUCCGUCAACAUAGGUUCGAACCCUAUCUCGCCAGCCA
This 75-nucleotide transfer RNA is filed under the name Terriglobia bacterium. RNAcentral's name for it is "tRNA-Gln". It matches the Rfam family "tRNA". From Rfam's summary of the family: Transfer RNA (tRNA) molecules are approximately 80 nucleotides in length. Their secondary structure includes four short double-helical elements and three loops (D, anti-codon, and T loops). Further hydrogen bonds mediate the characteristic L-shaped molecular structure. tRNAs have two regions of fundamental functional importance: the anti-codon, which is responsible for specific mRNA codon recognition, and the 3' end, to which the tRNAs corresponding amino acid is attached (by aminoacyl-tRNA synthetases). tRNAs cope with the degeneracy of the genetic code in two manners: having more than one tRNA (with a specific anti-codon) for a particular amino acid; and 'wobble' base-pairing, i.e. permitting non-standard base-pairing at the 3rd anti-codon position. Lineage: Bacteria; Pseudomonadati; Acidobacteriota; Terriglobia. The record is from RNAcentral.